UCUCAGUGAUGAAAAUUUUGUCCAGUUCUGCUACUGACUUUUAAGUGAUGAUAAAGUGUGUCUGAGGAGA
Sciurus vulgaris (Eurasian red squirrel) is the source of this 70-nucleotide small nucleolar RNA. Lineage: Eukaryota; Metazoa; Chordata; Mammalia; Rodentia; Sciuridae. The record is from Ensembl.